Molecule: ribosomal RNA, 510 nt
Filed under: uncultured bacterium
Lineage: Bacteria
Description: partial 16S ribosomal RNA
Rfam family: Bacterial small subunit ribosomal RNA
Source: RNAcentral
GACGAACGCUGGCGGCGUGCUUAACACAUGCAAGUCGAACGAAGAGCGAUGGAAGCUUGCUUCUAUCAAUCUUAGUGGCGAACGGGUGAGUAACGCGUAAUCAACCUGCCCUUCAGAGGGGGACAACAGUUGGAAACGACUGCUCAUACCGCAUACGAUCUAAACUCGGCAUCGAGGAUAGAUGAAAGGUGGCCUCUACAUGUAAGCUACCACUGCAGGAGGGGAUUGCGUCUGUUUAGCUAGGUGGAGGGGUAACGGCCCACCAAGGCGAGGAUCAGUAGCCGGUCUGAGAGGAUGAACGGCCACAUUGGGACUGAGACACGGCCCAGACUCCUACGGGAGGCAGCAGUGGGGAAUCUUCCGCAAUGGACGAAAGUCUGACGGAGCAACGCCGCGUGAGUGAUGACGGCCUUCGGGUUGUAAAGCUCUGUUAAUCGGGACGAAAGGCCUUCUUGCGAAUAGGGAGAAGGAUUGACGGUACCGGAAUAGAAAGCCACGGCUAACUACGUG